This is a small nucleolar RNA of Suncus etruscus (white-toothed pygmy shrew), 132 nucleotides long. RefSeq annotates it as small nucleolar RNA SNORA51. The record is from RefSeq and is a predicted model, not a curated record. The transcript has a single exon. Lineage: Eukaryota; Metazoa; Chordata; Mammalia; Eulipotyphla; Soricidae.
AGCUUUCUACUGCUUACCUCAGCUGAAUUCUUUACAGCAACUAUAUAGAAAGGGAAGAUAUAGGAAACUAACCCCAUUCACACCUCAGUCCAGGCCUUUUGCCUGCUGUGUAGAGUGAAUGAGGAGACAUUA